Molecule: small nucleolar RNA, 170 nt
Filed under: Poecilia latipinna (sailfin molly)
Lineage: Eukaryota; Metazoa; Chordata; Actinopteri; Cyprinodontiformes; Poeciliidae
Description: Small nucleolar RNA SNORD97 (ENSPLAG00000019297.1)
Rfam family: Small nucleolar RNA SNORD97
Source: RNAcentral
AUGCCCAGUGAUUAUAAAAAGACGCGUUAUUCUGAGGAACCCAACCUGCUGUCAGUCUGUCUUCUGCUCUCCGCUCCGUCUCCAUCUCCUCUCAUCUUCCUCUACCUCCACCUCCUCAUCCUCACUUUGGCAGCAGGUCCACUGACUGCGAUUAUGAGAUAUGAGGGCAU